Molecule: ribosomal RNA, 468 nt
Filed under: uncultured bacterium
Lineage: Bacteria
Description: bacterial SSU rRNA
Rfam family: Bacterial small subunit ribosomal RNA
Source: RNAcentral
GAUGAACGCUGGCGGCGUGCUUAACACAUGCAAGUCGAACGGACUUUACUUGAAGCCUAGCGAUAGUAAAGUUAGUGGCGGACGGGUGAGUAACGCGUGGGUAACCUGCCGUAUGCUGGGGGACAACAGUUGGAAACGACUGCUAAUACCGCAUAAGCGCACAGUACCGCAUGGUACGGUGUGAAAAACUCCGGUGGCAUACGAUGGACCCGCGUCUGAUUAGCUAGUUGGUGAGGUAACGGCCCACCAAGGCGACGAUCAGUAGCCGGCCUGAGAGGGUGAACGGCCACAUUGGGACUGAGACACGGCCCCAAACUCCUACGGGAGGCAGCAGUGGGGAAUAUUGCACAAUGGGGGAAACCCUGAUGCAGCGACGCCGCGUGAGUGAAGAAGUAUUUCGGUAUGUAAAGCUCUAUCAGCAGGGAGAAAAUGACGGUACCUGACUAAGAAGCCCCGGCUAACUACGUG